CAAGUUAAAAAGGAAGAGAAGAGCAUAUAGUACUAUCAGAAAAUAGAAGUCUAUGGUGUUUAGACAUUGGACAUACAUUGCAUAAAAAUAGUUGUUUAGAUGACACUUUAUUUGAAAGAAAUGAAAUAGAUCUCAUCUUGGCAAAUAAAAUAUGACCUAAUCUUUGAUUCCAAAAAAAAUAAUCUUUAUUACCAACACAUAUGAAUUACAAGAUGAGCUAUGAGAUACAAAAUGAGCAACAGAAUUUGAAACAACAUUAGUGCUAGGAACAGAAACAGAAAUAUUAGACUCAGAGAAAAGGAAACAAAACUAUUCAGAAACAAAGGAAAAUAAGAAUCAGCUUAAUGUAGGAAGUAUAGUCCAUUUGUAGCUUUACCAAUUUCCAGAGGCCUCCCCAGAGAAUGACCCUAUAAAAUACGGUUAUAAAUGGUGAAGAUUGCAAGAUAUUUGAACUGAAGAAGUAACUUGUGUACAGAGAUCAAAUUGAAAUAGAAUUAGGAAACUAAUAAGACGUUAUGUAAAAUCAUAUAUGCCGUGAGGGUCAUAGAACUAGUAGAUAUGACCUUUACUUUAUAUACAUUAAGUAGAGUAAUUAAAAAACUAUUACUGAAGGCUUACGAUUGUGAAGUAAGUGUUUAUGUGGUGUGAUGUGGUUGGUGUCACCAUACUCUAUGAUCCAAGGGUUUAAACCUACAUGUGAAUAUGCACAUGCAUGAAAAGAAGCUGAAUGCACCUCAGGGUGAUUGUACACACCUGCAAAGUUGGCAAAUCUUGCAUGUCACACCACUUUUUUCUACCCAGAAUGGAGUAUAUGGGAGUUUUUUAAUUAAAGUGACAAUAUUCGAAAUGAGAUUAUUUAUUUCCGUCUAGAGUCACCACUUGAGAUAAUUUAUGGUGUCCCAAGUCACAGGUUUAAAAUAUCGAAUAGAGGAAGUUUGACUCUGUUUUACAGUCAGCGAAACACAAAAAUUCGGGUAAGAAAUUCUGUAACUCGGGAGAAGGUGUUAGGCAUUUCGGAGUUUCGUGGGUUUAACAUGUUGUAAACCUAUUAUCCAUUUUUAGGUGUUGAACGCAUUUAAUUAUUUAUGGAAUUAUUCAGGAAUAAAUUACAAUUAUCGUACACUUGUUUGUUUGGUACACAUUGCGACAUCGUUUCACGGGAACCAUACCAAUGAUUUACAUCGUGUUUAAAGUAUUAGCAUUAUUAGUUAUUGGCCGUAUCACAUAAAUGUAACCCCAAAUUUAGAAAAUUAUAUAUCACAACUAUGUCAUGAGAACUGUAACCGUAGCUAUGAUAAUUUAUUAUAAAACGCACCUAAAGAAAACUACGAAUAUUUGACAUAUUUUUUACACUAGUUAUGAAUGUUCCAAGUCUUUCCCACACUUGUCUUGGUAUUAAUGCGAGGGCCAUUGAUUAUGGAGUUCAUUUUUGAAUGGCACGCCUUGAUUUACUUCAAAAGAUUUGCAUUCAAUUAAAGCGAACUACGAAUGUUCAGUUUUAAAACUAAUUAGGUAUCACAUCUAUGCCAUGAAACUGUGCCCAUAAUUGUAAUGAUUUAAUUGCAUGCCUAAAGCAAACUACAAAAGUUCAUAUCCACUUCAUAAAUAAAUUGAGAUUAUUGAAGUUAUUACUUAUGAAUAUAGAACUAGUGCGGAAGAAAGUGUAGGAUUUCAGCAACAGAAUUAAACAUAGUGAUUAUUCGGCCAAGAAAGUGAGCCCUACUUUGGUCUACUAUCUUUGGGCUAGCUCCCAUUCAAUUCCUAUGGCCCAAAAUGAUACUACUAUUAAACAGAUUUUUCCAGCACGGUACUUGUUCCAUAAAUCCAAUCCAUCUUCCUUAUUUUCUUAUGACCCAAUUACUUAUUAAUAAUAGUAGAUUCAAUGCUAAAUAUCUCAGCAAAAAAGAAACUAUAGAAUAUCAACUCUAAUGUUUAACGCAACAGAACAAUUACAGAUAUACAUAAUUGACAAAAUAUAAUGUUAGUCCAUUCAUGAGCAAGGAACAUACUGUGGCAUAUUACAAAACCAGAAAGUCUGAAUUUUUAUGAAUUGAAUUAAUUUAAACUAAUAACGAAUUUCAUCAAAGUCAAAUGUUUAACCACUUCAUCAAUGUUUGAAUUCUAAGGUGACAAAUCUGGACAUUAUUUUUUAAUUAAACAUGGAGUUUUUUUUUUCUUUCUUCAAAGAGUACAUAGAAAUUGGACGCUGAAACUUAUCCCUCAAGCUUGACAAAUGAACCAUAGCCAACAUAUUAGUCAACACCCCAGUUCAAUGAACAUAAAAGAAACGAGCUAAUUACACUAUACCUUUGUCCUGAACUUUUCAUACAGAUCGAGCACAUAAAGUAUGAACUACUAAAAUAUUUGACACUGAACAACUCCACUAAUCAGUGACUAUGAUAAUCAAUUUAUCAUAUUUAAGGAAGAACUAAAAGGGAAGAAGUAAAGAGAAAGUUGAAUGGCUUAAAAGAAACAUGAAAACUAAAGUUCCAAACAAGAGUAACUUCAUUGACUUCAGCAUAAGUACAUUUUUCACACAAAAACACACUUAAGCUCCAUUUGCCAUUCAAGAUUCAAAGGGGUACCUGGAUGCAGUAAAUAAACGAAAUAGAAAAGAGAGUCUUUGAAAUCAACAAGUAACAGCAGCAAGCUCCAGUCAAGUGUCAAUAACUAUCCCACGGCUAAAAUAUUUUAUGAAAUCCCAGAGAACAUCAAUUAAACAGUAGUAAAAAAGACCAAAUAGCUUUGGAUCCUGUUACUAUGAAGCUUUCGACCCUUCUUUCUAUGAGUUGUGUGUGUCCAUCAUGAAAAAAAUUAACUUUCAGAAAAGAAAUUCUAAGGGAAUUCUCUAUAUGCAGCUACCGGUGAAUAUCUUAGCCAUUUUUCCUUUUUUUUUUUUGUCUCUUAGACCUCUCUGCCCUAGAAUGAGUCUUAUAAAAAGAUUUUAGGCCAGCAAAACCUGAUUUUCUUCAUUCACUAUUACCUCUCUUCAAUUCCCUUUUGUUCAUUUCAAACCCCAAACUUUAAG
RNAcentral lists this long non-coding RNA (3028 nucleotides) under Nicotiana benthamiana. Its description in RNAcentral is "long non-coding RNA (NBEN_LNC012728)". The record is from RNAcentral. Lineage: Eukaryota; Viridiplantae; Streptophyta; Magnoliopsida; Solanales; Solanaceae.